AGCAAGGGGUGCUGGCGCAAGCCGGCUGAGACCGAACCUGGCGGUUCGGAACCCUGGAACCUGAUCCGGGUAAUGCCGGCGUAGGAAUCG
This 90-nucleotide non-coding RNA is filed under the name human gut metagenome. RNAcentral's name for it is "TPP riboswitch (THI element)". It matches the Rfam family "TPP riboswitch aptamer (THI element)", at positions 10 to 89 of the family's 105-position model. From Rfam's summary of the family: Vitamin B(1) in its active form thiamin pyrophosphate (TPP) is an essential coenzyme that is synthesised by coupling of pyrimidine and thiazole moieties in bacteria. The previously detected thiamin-regulatory element, thi box was extended, resulting in a new, highly conserved RNA secondary structure, the THI element, which is widely distributed in eubacteria and also occurs in some archaea. The record is from RNAcentral.